UACGGAGGGUGCAAGCGUUAUCCGGAUUCACUGGGUUUAAAGGGUGCGUAGGCGGGCAGGUAAGUCAGUGGUGAAAUCCCCGAGCUUAACUUGGGAACUGCCGUUGAUACUAUCUGUCUUGAAUGUUGUGGAGGUAAGCAGAAUAUGUCAUGUAGCGGUGAAAUGCUUAGAUAUGACAUAGAAUACCUAUUGCGAAGGCAGCUUACUACGCAGAUAUUGACGCUCAUGCACGAAAGCGUGGGGAUCAAACAGG
This 253-nucleotide ribosomal RNA is filed under the name uncultured bacterium. Its description in RNAcentral is "partial 16S ribosomal RNA". It matches the Rfam family "Bacterial small subunit ribosomal RNA", at positions 524 to 776 of the family's 1533-position model. The record is from RNAcentral.